Pezoporus occidentalis (night parrot) is the source of this 848-nucleotide long non-coding RNA. RefSeq lists it as uncharacterized. The record is from RefSeq and is a predicted model, not a curated record. NCBI's taxonomy places the organism in Eukaryota, Metazoa, Chordata, Aves, Psittaciformes, Psittacidae. The transcript is spliced from 2 exons.
CCUGCCACGGGCAGGGACACCUUCCACUAGAGCAGCUUGCUCCAAGUCCCUGUGUCCAACCUGGCCUUGAACACUGCCAGGGAUGGGGCAGCCACAGCUUCUCUGGGCACCCUGUGCCAGCGCCUCAGCACCCUCACAGGGAAGAGCUUCUGCCUAAGAGCUCAUCUCGGUCUCCCCUCUGGCAGGUUAAAGCCAUUCCCCUUGGCCUGUCCCUACAGGCCCUUGUCCAAAGCCCCUCUCCAGAUUCCUUGUAGGUAAAGCUACCGAGAGAGAGGAAACACUACUGAGCUGUGUAACCAAAACCCAAAUAAUAUCACCAAAAGGUGCUCGUUUCAGGUGCUGUUUGUAAAAGCAGUUUCCCUCGAGCUGUGGAUCUCAGCUACUUUUCCCUCUCCAUUAUGUACUGUGUGAGCCUCUUGCGGUGAAAGAAAUUCCUUCCUCAGAACGACUUUCCUGUGAGUGGAAGUACCAGGAAUCUGAUUGAGGGUUUUGUCACAUGCUUCUUGGUAUAGAUAGAUAGAUAUAAACACGUGAGCAUGUAGAGUAAUGUAUGUGCUGGCGUGUAAGCCAACCGCUAACUGAUGAGGGUCAGGAAGAAACUUCUCUCCUGGGCAUGUUAAUUCGUAACAGGCUACUAUACAGUUUCUCCUACUUUUAUCUCCAGCAUCUGAUACCAGCCAGUGCUGGAGACAGGAUACUGGUUGAACCACUGGUCUCAACUUGUCUGGCUUUUUCUCUGUUUGAUAUUUUAAUUUCAUUUAUCACAGUCUGUAGAAUGAUGGAGAGUGAAGCAUGCAUUGCAUUUCUAUGAAUAAAGACUCAGAAAUAAAGAACAUGCCUCUACCACA